This 468-nucleotide ribosomal RNA is filed under the name uncultured bacterium. RNAcentral describes it as "partial 16S ribosomal RNA". It matches the Rfam family "Bacterial small subunit ribosomal RNA", at positions 28 to 507 of the family's 1533-position model. The record is from RNAcentral.
GACGAACGCUGGCGGCGUGCCUAACACAUGCAAGUCGAACGGAAAGGCCCUGCUUUUGUGGGGUGCUCGAGUGGCGAACGGGUGAGUAACACGUGAGUAACCUGCCCUUGACUUUGGGAUAACUUCAGGAAACUGGGGCUAAUACCGGAUAGGAGCUCCUGCUGCAUGGUGGGGGUUGGAAAGUUUCGGCGGUUGGGGAUGGACUCGCGGCUUAUCAGCUUGUUGGUGGGGUAGUGGCUUACCAAGGCUUUGACGGGUAGCCGGCCUGAGAGGGUGACCGGCCACAUUGGGACUGAGAUACGGCCCAGACUCCUACGGGAGGCAGCAGUGGGGAAUAUUACACAAUGGGCGGAAGCCUGAUGCAGCAACGCCGCGUGCGGGAUGACGGCCUUCGGGUUGUAAACCGCUUUCGCCUGUGACGAAGCGUGAGUGACGGUAAUGGGUAAAGAAGCACCGGCUAACUACGUG